Molecule: unclassified non-coding RNA, 617 nt
Filed under: Hevea brasiliensis (rubber tree)
Lineage: Eukaryota; Viridiplantae; Streptophyta; Magnoliopsida; Malpighiales; Euphorbiaceae
Source: RNAcentral
CGGGACAUAUGUUACAAGUCAAUGCAAUUCCAACUCCCCAUCAGAGACCCAUACAAGAAAGGAGAAGAUUCUUUGCAGGUGGUCACUAGAGGCUUCAAAAAGCUAAUAUUAUAUUUAAGUUACCACUGCACAACUAAAUGCAUUCCCAGUUUCUCUCUGUGCUGCUAACCAAAAGGAUAUAAGUAAACCAUCCAGAUGAAGAAAGCUACCAUAAUCUGCCCAUGGCUUCACCCCCAUACAUUCACAAGUUGACACAAACUUGCAUGUCAUUUGUUGAAAGAGAUGGAGGAAAGAAAAGGAGGAACAACAUGGGAAACUUUUCCUUGUGUUAGCUGGAUUAGGAGGAAUGAAAACCUAGCCUAAGUGUGGUCCACAAGGCUAAAUUUGGAACAUGGAAAAUCCAUCAUAGUCAACUUCAACUAUUCUGUACUCACUGCUGUGCACCUUCUUGAUAUUUGAUAUAAGAAGCAUGAUUGAUUUGGAUCCAAUGUUUAUAUUCUCCAUUCUUUUUUCUUUUUUCUGCAAACAUUUCUGUCAGAAACAAACAGAGAAAAAAAUUCAUUCCUCUGUUUUUUCAUUCCUAAUUUUUCUUUUAUUACCUUUAGAAGUUCUCAACU